GUAGGAUGGAUCAUCUAGCUAAUAUUCAUCAUCAUCAUCAUCAUCCUCCACAUAGUAUGCCUCCGGGUUAACCGGCUUGAACUUCUUUCCAACCAUACUCACUCCGACAAACUCCUGUUGUUCAUUAUCAUUAUCCGCCUCAGCUUCAUCCGAUUCUCCCUUGUUACUCUGAUCUCGUUCAACGAUAGGGGUGAAUGUGGGCGCUUUUGCUUCACCAGCAACUUUUCCGGUGACUUCAUUUGCAGACAUGAUAUUGUGCACUUCACCUGAACGCCCCGGUGCUUGACCAAAACUGGUUGAAUUCAACCCACUGUCGCUAAUUUGAUUAGCUGACUUCAUUAUUGGACGGACAUCUGCUUGUACCGGAGGCACCAAGCUCUGACUAGUUGCGGUUAACUGAGGAUCGGAGUGUCCAUUAUGAAUAGAUGAGGCGGUCGGAGCUGUUGGCUCGGAUACGUAGCUGACGUGCUUCGUGGGAUCGAUGCUGGGCGAGCGUUCGAAUGUAGCCGAGGGAGCUGGAGAGUAGCCGCUGUAACUCAUUUUUAGCUGGAGAGGAAGGUUUUCCGGUGAUGUGGAUUGUGAUGAGUUUAGAGAAGUAUGUGUGUGUAUUCAUGGGAGUAAAGCAACUAUGAGAAGUCAAGGUCAACUUAACGUGAAGUCCUUUUGGAAUAGUGUCAGGCAGGUGGCCUAACACUUCUUUAUUGGACCAAAUCAAUUUUUAAUUUAAUUUUAUUUCUA
This 738-nucleotide long non-coding RNA is filed under the name Helianthus annuus (common sunflower). Its description in RNAcentral is "hypothetical non coding rna". Lineage: Eukaryota; Viridiplantae; Streptophyta; Magnoliopsida; Asterales; Asteraceae. The record is from RNAcentral.